AUGUGUCCCCGGAGCAACUCGGCCUUGGUGCCGCCGGUGCCGAAGCCGCAGCAGAAGAAGUGGCGGCAGGAAGAGGAGUCAGGAGGCGGUUGCAGGGGAUCUCGGGCCUCCCGGCGUGCGUUGACGAAGAGCGAGGAGGUGCGGAGGUACAGCGCGGUGGAGCGUCGUGAGCGCAUCGAGAGAUACCGGAGCAAGCGCAAGCGCCGCAACUUCCAAAAGAAGAUCACCUACGCUUGCCGGAAGGCGCUCGCGGAUAGACGGCGGAGGAUCAAGGGGCGGUUCGCACACGCCGGAGAGGAAGAACAAAAGGCGUGCCUUGCAGAAACGACAGACCAAGGUUCAAGCAGCAUUAGCGGAAGUGCGGUGCCGGAGUGGUGGCCAGCAAUGGAGGAGGCGCUGGCCAGGAAGGAGGAAGUGGAUGGCAUCACUCGCUGGGACCAUGAGAUGCUCGUCUCAUUCCUCGGCCUAAACCUCUGCUGCGCUAGUGACCCUUCCAACCAUCCAUCCACCUGA
RNAcentral lists this ribosomal RNA (513 nucleotides) under Triticum aestivum (bread wheat). Its description in RNAcentral is "partial small subunit ribosomal RNA". Lineage: Eukaryota; Viridiplantae; Streptophyta; Magnoliopsida; Poales; Poaceae. The record is from RNAcentral.